Molecule: long non-coding RNA, 3305 nt
Organism: Symphalangus syndactylus (siamang)
Lineage: Eukaryota; Metazoa; Chordata; Mammalia; Primates; Hylobatidae
Source: RefSeq, a predicted model, not a curated record
GCCACCACACCCAGCUAAUUUUUUGUAUUUUUAGUAGAGAUGAGGUUUCACUGUGUUAGCCAGGAUGGUCUCAAUCUCCUGACCUUGUGAUCCGCCCACCUCGGCCUCCCAAAGUGCUGGGAUUACAGGUGUGAGCCACUGCGCCCGGCCGCUUUACUCUUAAGUUCGUGAGAAAAAUUUAUGUAAAUGUUACAGAACAGUCUUGAAAAUGUUUUUUUGAUGAUGAGUAUUAGAAUACCUCCCUUUAACUCUGGCGCUAUGAUAUCACAUCUCCCAGAAGGUCAACAAACCACUCAGGUGGUGGGAUCUAUUGUGUAAAUGAAUCUGCCAGAUGAACUGCUCCACUAAACACCUCUUCUUUGAGAUCCAUAGGGACUUCCCUAUUAAAACACAGGCCAAGGCUAGUUUGAAAAUGUACUGGUAUCCUUGUGCCUAAAUCAAACUCAAAUUGAAGGUCUCCAUGAUGUCCUGUACUGGCCUCCUUAUGGACUGAAAGUUCUACUGAUAUACACAGUGUAGCGGAGGAAAAACUUUUCUUCAACCCUCGUUGGUUUAGUAACUGGGGCCCUGCAAAUUAAACUGACCAAAAACAGGCUAGCAGGAUAAAUAGUUGUGUAUGCACCCAGAGGCAUCCACAGAAACAAAAUGAAGACAAAGAAACAGUUAGACUUGGAGGCUUUAUAUACCAUUUUAACAAACAGCAGUAUAAAGAAGUGGGAAGACAAAGGAAAGGGAGUUGGGCCUUGUAGGGGUGGUAAGUUGUGGAUUUUCCUGGUAUGAAAGAGUGAAGGGAGGACAUUUUCUUAAACAAAAAUGUAUGCCCUGCUUUUAAGCAAGUAGGGGGAGGGCACAGAGCUUUUCUGUGCCUGCUAUUUCUUGAUUGCCUUCAGCUUAAAAUAAUUCUUAUGUCAAAGAGGUAAAUUUUGGGGUGGCAUACUCUGAUCAGUAGAAUUCAGUAGAAUUUUUAGGGCUGAAUCUAUCAAGGUUAUGUUUACACGUUCAAAACAUAUUCAAGCUUGCACAAUAACUUCUGAAAACAGUAGAUAAAGAACUAAAAUCAAUAGUUGAAAGCCUAAUUUAAAAGAAAGAUUCUCCGGCUGGGCGUGGUGGUUCACGACUGUAAUCCCAGCACUUUGGUAGGCCGAGGCAGGCAGAUCACCUGAGGUCGGGAGAUUGAGACCAGUGUGACAAACAUGGAGAAAUCCCAUCUCUACUAAAAAAUACAAAAAAAUUAGCCGGGCUUGGUGGUGCAUGCCUAUAAUCCCAACUAUGCAGGAGGCUGAGGCAGGAGAAUCGCUUGAACCUGGGAGGCAGAGGUUGCAGUGAGCUGGGAUUGUGCCAUUGCAAUCCAGCCUGGGCAACAAGAGUGAAACUCCGUCUUGAAAAAAAAAAAAAAAAAGACUCACCAUAACUUUUACUGGUCCUUAUGUCAAAUAACACAAUCUGCAAUGAUAUAUAUUAGUUUAGGACCUCAGGGUCAUAAAAAAAAACUGCCAUUCCCGAACUUUCUGUGUACUAAGCUCUAAUACUAUUUUCUUGUGGGGUUGCAUAUUCUGGACUUAGAAAUCUAUGCUAUGCCCUCUUUAGUGGUUCCUUAAGGUAGACUGAAAUAGUUAAUCCUGCUUACUUUUUCCUGGUAAAGUCAACAAUAUGCUUUGACAGUUAUGCUUUAGUGAUUUACCUUUUUUUCACAGGCUCAUGAUUAGGACCUUGUGAACCUUAAAUUUCCUUGAAACUCUACUUGUAUCCGAUAUGUAGAUGACCUCUUGUUAUAUUCUAAAAAUGAAUUGAGCUCUCUUAGUCAUUUAUGUUCUUACAGUUUUAACUCAGAAAGGACUUAAAGUUAGAAGGAAAGUCAUAAUUUUCUCAAAACAGAUUGUGUAACUUAGAUCAAGAUUUAUUCAAGAGUAAAUACCCCACUUAGGACAGAGGAAAAGCCAUUCAACAGUUUUCCAGGCCAAAGCUACACACCAUGAUAUACACUUGUAGUCCUAGCUUCUCAGGAGGCUGAGGCAGGAGCAGGAGGAUCUCCUGAGCCCAGGAAUUUCAGCCUGUCUAGGAUUGCUCCAGUGAAUAGCAACUGUACUCCAGCCUGGGCAAAAAACCAAGAUCCCAUCUCUAAAACAAAAACAAACACAAACAAACGAACUUUCCUGGGCCAGUUAUUCAGAGUCAAUUAAGAGGAUUCCAACUGUCCUAGAAUCAUCAUGACUCUAUCUGAUUUAAACAAGUUUUAAGUAAUCAAAACUCUUCCUUGGGAGCCUAAAUAUGAGCCAGCAUUUUAUGAUUUAAAAUGAGAUUUUUAACAUCUUCAUAUGCUGAGUCAUCUUAAGUAUUUUAAACUGUUUUACCUAUUUGCAUAUAAGCAAUGAUGGACAAGCCCUUAGUGUUCUGACUCAGCUUUAUAGCAUUUAUCAGAGACUUGCUACAGCUUUCCUCUUGACCCAAUGGCAAAAGUGCACCUUCCUUGUCUCAGGGCAAUAGCAACUCAGCUAAAUUAGUGAAGGCUACUGUUAACUCACUCGUAGGGUCUCCCUUAGACUCAAUGGACCCUCAUCAUGUACAGUAUGUUGCAUGCUAACAAUUCACUAUCUUUCUUUCUUUUUUUACUUUAUUCAAUCUGUAGAGACUGUCAAAAUUUUCCAAUGCCAACUGUAUUGCAAAUCAUCACCACCGGGUAUUGGGAAAUUUUCAAUUAGCAAUAAUCACACCUCAGAAAAACCUCACUGGCUGCAUGAAACUGAAAAUGCACUUAACGGGUAUGCUUACUAUUCAUGAAAUUUUAUUACUUUCUCACUUACAUGUUUCCUUCCCUGGUAGUACCAUAAUAUAUGUACUGUUGCUUUCCUUCUUUUACCGGAAGAAGGGGUAAAUCAUGACUGCCUAACCUCUGGCCAAGAACAGUCCAUGCCCUAAACGAAUAGAUUAGAAACUCUUCCAGAAAAUUGGGAGUUAGCCUUGUUCAUUCAUGGCGAUACUGUUUGGAUUUGUGUUCCUGCCCAAAUCUCAUGUCAAAUUGUGAUCCUCAGUGUUGAAGGAGGGGCCUGAAGGGAGGUGACUGGAUCAUGGGGGCAGAUUUUUCCCUUGCUGUUCUCAUGAUAGUGAAUUCUCAUGAGAUCUGGCUGUUUAAAAGUGUGUAGCACCUUUCCCUUUGCUCUCUUCCUUCUGUUGUAGCCAUGUAGGAUGUGCCUGCUUCUACUUCAGCUUCUGCCAUAAUUGGGAAUUUCCUGAGGCCUCCCUAGCCAUGCUUCCUGUACAGCCUGCAGAACCCAUGAGCCAAUUAAACCUCUUUUCUUUAUGAAUUA